This 490-nucleotide ribosomal RNA is filed under the name uncultured bacterium. RNAcentral describes it as "partial 16S ribosomal RNA". It matches the Rfam family "Bacterial small subunit ribosomal RNA", at positions 30 to 507 of the family's 1533-position model. The record is from RNAcentral.
AUUGAACGCUGGCGGCAGGCCUAACACAUGCAAGUCGAACGGUAACAGGAAGAAGCUUGCUUCUUUGCUGACGAGUGGCGGACGGGUGAGUAAUGUCUGGGAAACUGCCUGAUGGAGGGGGAUAACUACUGGAAACGGUAGCUACUACCGCAUAACGUCGCAAGACCAAAGAGGGGGACCUUCGGGCCUCUUGCCAUCGGAUGUGCCCAGAUGGGAUUAGCUAGUAGGUGGGGUAACGGCUCACCUAGGCGACGAUCCCUAGCUGGUCUGAGAGGAUGACCAGCCACACUGGAACUGAGACACGGUCCAGACUCCUACGGGAGGCAGCAGUGGGGAAUAUUGCACAAUGGGCGCAAGCCUGAUGCAGCCAUGCCGAGUGUAUGAAGAAGGCCUUCGGGUUGUAAAGUACUUUCAGCGGGGAGGAAGGGAGUAAAGUUAAUACCUUUGCUCAUUGACGUUACCCGCAGAAGAAGCACCGGCUAACUCCGUG